UACAGAGGUCUCGAGCGUUGUUCGGAUUCAUUGGGCGUAAAGGGUGCGUAGGUGGCGUGGUAAGUCUGGUGUGAAAUCCCGGGGCUCAACCCGGAACUGCACUGGAUACUGCCAUGCUUGAGUACUGGAGAGGAGAUUGGAAUUUACGGUGUAGCAGUGAAAUGCGUAGAUAUCGUAAGGAAGACCAGUGGCGAAGGCGAAUCUCUGGACAGUUACUGACACUGAGGCAGCGAAGGCCAGGGAGCAAACGGG
Molecule: ribosomal RNA, 252 nt
Filed under: uncultured bacterium
Lineage: Bacteria
Description: partial 16S ribosomal RNA
Rfam family: Bacterial small subunit ribosomal RNA
Source: RNAcentral